CGGGGAAUCAGGGUUCGAUUCCGGAGAGGGAGCCCGAGAAACGGCUACCACUUCCAAGGAAGGCAGCAGGCGCGCAACUUACCCUAAUCUCGAUUCGAGGAGGUAGUGACAAGAAAUACCGAUGCGGGACCCUACGGGUGCCGCGUUCGGAAUGAGUACGAUUCGAACCACCUAACGAGGAACGAUCGGAGGGCAAGUCUGGUGCCAGCAGCCGCGGUAAUUCCAGCUCCAAUAGCGUACGUUAAAGUUGCUGCAGUUAAAAAGCUCGUAGUUGAACGUUCGGGUUCCGCGGGACGGGGCCGCCCCGCGAGGGACGGCGCCGCCCCGGGGCUCGUGAUAUCUCAUCUCGCCGCCCGUCGCGAGGCGGACGGAGGGAUGGAUGAGGUUACCUGGAAAAAAAUCGGGGCGAUCUAGGCGGGCGAACCUCGCCAACGAACGAUCGGACAUGGG
This 450-nucleotide ribosomal RNA is filed under the name uncultured eukaryote. RNAcentral's name for it is "bacterial SSU rRNA". It matches the Rfam family "Eukaryotic small subunit ribosomal RNA", at positions 363 to 813 of the family's 1831-position model. The record is from RNAcentral.